AAUACGGGAGGGGCAAGCGUUAUCUGGAAUGACUGGGCGUAAAGUGUCCGUAGACUGUAAUGUAAGUUAAUUGUUAAAUUUUAAAGCCUAACUUUAAAACAGCAAUUAAUACUGCUUUACUUGAGUAUGAUACAGAAGAGUGGAAUUUUAUAUGAAGGGGUAACACCCGUAGAUAUAUAAAGGAACUCCAUUAGCGAAGGCGACUCUUUAGUACACACUGACGUUGAGGGACG
RNAcentral lists this ribosomal RNA (233 nucleotides) under uncultured Fragilariaceae. Its description in RNAcentral is "partial Bacterial small subunit ribosomal RNA". It matches the Rfam family "Bacterial small subunit ribosomal RNA", at positions 522 to 755 of the family's 1533-position model. The record is from RNAcentral. Lineage: Eukaryota; Bacillariophyta; Fragilariophyceae; Fragilariales; Fragilariaceae.